RNAcentral lists this ribosomal RNA (377 nucleotides) under uncultured bacterium. Its description in RNAcentral is "bacterial SSU rRNA". It matches the Rfam family "Bacterial small subunit ribosomal RNA", at positions 523 to 898 of the family's 1533-position model. The record is from RNAcentral.
AUACGUAGGGGGCAAGCGUUGUCCGGAAUCAUUGGGCGUAAAGCGCGUGUAGGCGGCUUGAUAAGUCUGUUGUGAAAGUCCAGGGCUCAACCCUGGAAUGCCGAUGGAUACUGUCAAGCUCGAGUCCGGAAGAGGCGAGUGGAAUUCCUGGUGUAGCGGUGAAAUGCGCAGAUAUCAGGAGGAACACCAAUGGCGAAGGCAGCUCGCUGGGACGGUACUGACGCUGAGACGCGAAAGCGUGGGGAGCAAACAGGAUUAGAUACCCUGGUAGUCCACGCCGUAAACGAUGGGUACUAGGUGUGGGGGGUGUCGACUCCCUCCGUGCCGAAGCUAACGCAUUAAGUACCCCGCCUGGGGAGUACGGCCGCAAGGCUAAA